Bos taurus (domestic cattle) is the source of this 709-nucleotide long non-coding RNA. The record is from Ensembl. NCBI's taxonomy places the organism in Eukaryota, Metazoa, Chordata, Mammalia, Artiodactyla, Bovidae.
UUGUGUUGUCUUUUUCUGAUUUUGGUAUCAGGGUGAUGGUGCCUCGUAAAAUGAGUUUGGAAGUGUUCCUUCCUCUGCAACUUUUUGAAAGAGUUUUAGAAGGAUAGGUAUUAGCUCUUCUCUAAAUGUUUGAUAGAAUUCUCCUGUGAAGCCAUCUGGUCCUGGGCUUUUGUUUUUUGUGAGAUUUUUGAUCACAGCUUUAAUUUCAGUGCUUGUAAUUGGGUUGUUCAUAAUUUCUGUUUCUUCCUGGUUCAGUCUUGGAAGAUUGAACUUUUCUAAGAAUCUGUCCACUUCUUCCAGAUUCACACUAUGCUAGUUGAGAAUGCUUGCUUCUGAUGGGAUGCCCAUUCCUUCAUCCCUUCUGAGAUUAUUUUGGAAGACAGUGCUCCAUGGGAACGUUCAAGCUUCUGCACAGUCUGGGCUUCCCAACUGUCACUCCGGGUUAAAGAAUGGCUGAAUGAGGGCUUCUCUGGCGGCUUGUUGGUAAAGAAUCUGCCCACCAAUGCAGGAGACAUGGGUUCCAUCCCUGGUCCAGGAAGAUCCCACAUGCCAUACAGCAACUAAGCCUGGGCACCGCAACUAUUGAGCUUGUGCUCUAGAACCUGCAAGCUGCAACUGCUGAAAACCGUGUACCCUAGAGCCUGUGCCACACAACAAGAGAAGCCACCACAGUGAGAAGCCUCCUCACCGCAACUACAGAGAAGCCUUU